CGCCCAGAAGAGUCUCGAUGCCAUUAAUCGAUUUUAUUGGAGAUAUAGUUAUCGUGGAAGAAAAAAUUACUCUCCCACUAAUCACAGAAACAGAUCCAUGAUAAAGUACUAUUUUUCUAACAUUCAUGAUCGUCCGAGUUUCAUCGGCUUACAAUGUCAUACUUGGACGAUCUGGACUUAAUACCUUGAGAGCAGUAGUUUCAACAUACCAAUUGCUGAUCCGAUUC
Molecule: long non-coding RNA, 227 nt
Filed under: Elaeis guineensis (African oil palm)
Lineage: Eukaryota; Viridiplantae; Streptophyta; Magnoliopsida; Arecales; Arecaceae
Description: long non-coding RNA (EGUI_LNC014002)
Source: RNAcentral